UACGGAGGAUCCAAGCGUUAUCCGGAAUCAUUGGGUUUAAAGGGUCCGUAGGCGGUUUAAUAAGUCAGUGGUGAAAGCCCAUCGCUUAACGAUGGAACGGCCAUUGAUACUGUUAGACUUGAAUUAUUAGGAAGUUACUAGAAUAUGUAGUGUAGCGGUGAAAUGCUUAGAUAUUACAUGGAAUACCAAUUGCGAAGGCAGGUUACUACUAAUAUAUUGACGCUGAUGGACGAAAGCGUGGGGAGCGAACAGG
This 253-nucleotide ribosomal RNA is filed under the name uncultured bacterium. RNAcentral describes it as "partial 16S ribosomal RNA". It matches the Rfam family "Bacterial small subunit ribosomal RNA", at positions 524 to 776 of the family's 1533-position model. The record is from RNAcentral.